AUUGAACGCUGGCGGCAUGCUUUACACAUGCAAGUCGAGCGGUAACAGGCCUUCGGGUGCUGACGAGUGGCGAACGGGUGAGUAAUGCAUCGGAACGUACCCAGAGGUGGGGGAUAACGCAGCGAAAGCUGUGCUAAUACCGCAUGUGAUCUGAGGAUGAAAGCGGGGGACCGAGCAGCAAUGUUUGGCCUCGCGCCUUUGGAGCGGCCGCUGUCGGAUUAGCUAGUUGGUGGGGUAAAGGCCUACCAAGGCGACGAUCCGUAGCUGGUCUGAGAGGACGAUCAGCGACACGGGGACUGGGACACGGCCCAGACUCCUACGGGAGGCAGCAGUGGGGAAUGGUGGACAAUGGGCGCAAGCAUGAUCCAGCAAUGCCGCGUGCGGGAAGAAGGCCUUCGGGUUGUAAACCGCUUUUGGGAGGAACGAAACGGUGUCCGCUAAUACCGGGCGCUAAUGACGGUACCUGCAGAAUAAGCACCGGCUAACUACGUG
RNAcentral lists this ribosomal RNA (492 nucleotides) under uncultured bacterium. RNAcentral's name for it is "partial 16S ribosomal RNA". It matches the Rfam family "Bacterial small subunit ribosomal RNA", at positions 29 to 507 of the family's 1533-position model. The record is from RNAcentral.